GUGGGGAAUCUUCCGCAAUGGACGAAAGUCUGACGGAGCGACGCCGCGUGAGUGAAGAAGGCCUUCGGGUCGUAAAGCUCUGUCAUCAGGGACGAACGGCCGGUGGAGUGGAAAGCCACCGGAUUGACGGUACCUGAGAAGGAAGCCACGGCUAACUACGUGCCAGCAGCCGCGGUAAUACGUAGGUGGCAAGCGUUGUCCGGAAUUAUUGGGCGUAAAGCGCGCGCAGGUGGGAUCUUAAGUCCAUUUUGAAAGUUCGGAGCUCAACUCCGUGAUGGGAUGGAAACUGGGAUUCUUGAGUACCGGAGAGGAAAGCGGAAUUCCAAGUGUAGCGGUGAAAUGCGUAGAGAUUUGGAAGAACACCAGUGGCGAAGGCGACUUUCUGGACGAUGUCUGACGCUGAGGCGCGAAAGCUAGGGGAGCGAACGGGAUUAGAAACCCGUGUAGUCC
This 450-nucleotide ribosomal RNA is filed under the name uncultured bacterium. RNAcentral describes it as "partial 16S ribosomal RNA". It matches the Rfam family "Bacterial small subunit ribosomal RNA", at positions 354 to 796 of the family's 1533-position model. The record is from RNAcentral.